CUAAUUAUUAUAAUCUGCGAACAGAACUUAACCUACUCGUUAUUUAUAUAAAUUAUUACAACAAUUUUAAAUAUAAACAUUAACAAAUAAUAGAAUAUGAAGUUAAGAAACGAACUAUUAAGUAUAUUGGAAAAUAAAAAUGAAUCCUUUGGUAAUCGCCUCAAACUAGCCGACACCAUUAUAAGAAUCCCGGAAAAAUUGUUAGAGGACGAAGAAUCUAUUAUUAUCAGAUGGCUUUUAAAUGAAAUAAAUCACGAAAGCCCUGAAUCAUGGGAAAUAUUACUUUCUUGGUUAACAUCAGAAAAGUUGAACUGUGUGUUUAAUGCUAAUUCUAUAACUUUGAAUCUUCUUAUACAAGCUAUUUUAAUUAAUAUACAGAAAGUUAACAGCCAUCUCAAAGAAACAUUGAUAAGUAUUUCUUUGUUAAUUCUAGAAAACAAUGUCCCUCAAAGUUUUAUCAAGUCAAACAUAAGUGAUUAUUGCUGUUUUCUGUUUACAGUUAUAAAUGAGAUAGAUAAUCCACUAUCUUUAGCAAAAUUUUUGGAUAAAGAUAUUUUAUACAACAAAAAUGUUGUUACCAACAAUACUUUCAUAUUAUAUUUUGUCAAUAGUGGAAUAAGUAUUUUAACAAAAGUUAGAAAAAAAUUUUGUGGUAAUCAAAAUGUUUGCAGAAGUAUUUCAACAUUCAUCGAAAAGGGCAUUUUUCAACAUAGUAAAAAGGCUUUUGAUUUAUACUACUCCAAGUUAUUUGAAGACAAAAAAUGUUCAGAAGAAAUAUUUUUUCCAAAAUUGUUACUUAAUCAAUUAAAGACUGCUGUGUCUACGAAUAGAAUAGACACACAAAUCAUGUUUGAAAUAAUAUUUGAAUCUUAUAACUAUUGCUACCAAAAUGAUUUUGGAAGCAUUUACAAAUUUAUCAUUUUAAUUCUUGAUAUGCUGGGAUUUUCACAAAAAAUAUUAUUGGAAGUCAAACUGAAUGAUUCACAAAAUUUGAAUUUAAAUUGCACAGAAGCUCUGGAUAUUAUUGCUAGUAUAUUUAGGAUUUUAACUUCAAAUAAUAUUGAUUUAAAUUGUAAAGUUAAAGAAGUAACAUUUGAGAGUUUUCUAGAAGACUUUAUAGUUUCAUUAGUAGCAGCAGUGAGACAUCCAACUGAAGAUGUAUAUGAUAUUUUCUUGCAUCUUUCAUCAAUUGCCCCUCUUUCAAUUGAGAGGAAGCUAGAUAUUUUAUUGCCUUAUUUCCUACUUACAACAAAACACAAUGAGAAAUAUCCACAAUUAUUAAAUAUCUUUAUGGAUAUAUUUGCAAAAUUACACAGACUGCAAAGUUUUGUUUCAAAAAUGGUAAAACUAAUGAAGGCUCAUUUGUGUAACCAUAAUGACACACAUGAUAUUUAUAAUAUUGAAACACUAAACAUUGAUUCAAUGUUUCCAAAACUUGUGCAAGAUAAUUUUACAAAUUCUUUGGCAGCAUUGGCUAGUUGGCAAGUUAUGAACAUUUUUAAAACCCUUAUUUUCCAUCUUAAUGAAGUUCAUGACGAUUUACAAACAUUAGCAGAUGAUUUUAGAUAUGUGCUCUACGUUGAGAUUAUCAGCAUGCUUACUUGUCUUUUACUGAGUACCACUAGAAUAGCCGAGCAUACGAUUUCCGAAACCAUUGUAGAUAACUUCAUUUGUGGAAUGAAAGAAUUACAAGAUAUUAUUAAGAGUUUUGGAAUUUCUCUUGUUAAGAGGGAGCAUAAUCCAAGAUUAAUGUAUGCCUACUUAAAUAUCUGUUAUAACUGGGCAGAUUUAUCAAUACUAAUGAAAUGUCAUUUAAAUAGAAGAAACAUGCACUUCAAUCUAACUCUUGACAGUGAUAAUACUGGGUAUAACAUAACUUCCAUCCAUCCCUACUUAACAAGAGAUCAGUGGUGUCUUAUUGCAGAAAGAAUUACAAAUUUUGGGGAAGCUCCUUGUAAAAAAAUAAUGCAUAAACUGUUAGUUCAAAAAUUAAAGGCCUUAUUUAUUUUUGAAAAGGAAUUUUAUGAAGAAGUUGAAACGAGCGUUAUAAGAAUUAUUAACAAGAACAUCGAUAGUACUUGGGAAGAUUUAUUGUGUGAUAAUUUUGCAUUAAAACACAUUGGUCCAAGAUUAGAUAAAACUUCUUUAUUGCAAUUAUCUGAAAUUAUUUUUAAACAAUUCCAUAAAAGUGAUAAUAUAUUUCUUAAAAGAAAUGCUGAAAUUUCAAAUUGUGAAGCUUUAAUUUCAGCCAUACUUUAUACAAAUCUAUCAAAAAUAAGUGGCUUAUUUAAAGGAAAGAGAAAACAUGGUGAAUCAGCUGUAAAACAAAUGAGAACAUACACCUUUUUUUGUAAUAUUCCUUGUGAUAUUAUUCUUUCUAAUGGCAAUACAACUGCAGAUGAGUUCGAUGUUGUUUUAAGUAAUUUUAUUACAACAGCAAAUCUAAAAGAUACGGAUACUAAAGAUGAUUUUAAUGAAAAGAAAAUUUACGAAUAUUUAGAAAUAUUUGGAAAAUUACCGGUCCUGUUUUUGUCACAAGAAGUUGAAACUGCUCUUUUUCUCUAUUUUAUAAUAAUUCUGUUAGAUUUGAAACUUCUUCAGUCUGCUGUAAGUGAAAACUGCGAGAGGAUUAUUAUUGGUUUUCUAAAAAAUGAAAAAAUUCUUUUUGAUAGAAUACCAAACAUGGAUUUUAUUUUGCAAACUAUAUUAAAAUGUUUUAACAAUUAUGAAGAGGCUUUUGCUCUUCUGUGUAUUAAUAUACUUACAAAGUAUAAUGGUAGCAAUUUAUUAGAAGUGAAAAAAGAAUAUAAAUUAGUAGAAGGUAUUAAAAAUUUUUUAUUGCCAAAUAUAAGAGAACCAAAAUAUUUACAACUUGCAAUAGUUACUAUUAAACAGAUAAAUAAGUUCAAAAAGUUGAAAAUAUCACAAGAAGGGAAAAAUGAAAUUUAUACUUUGCAAUUACAAAUGUUACUUGGUUGUGCUAAACUCUUAGAGGAGGUAGAUUUAUUUUCGCAACCGCAUUUUAUUGAAUGUUACAAUUUAGUUUUGAAGCAUGCAUUAGAUAAAGAAGAUGAAACAAUUCUGCCACAACUUAUAUUAAAGUUGGAAGAUUGUCUUAAUAACAUAUGUGUGGCAAGAGAAAGAGCAAACGUACAAGAAUGUGUUAAAUUAUUUAUAACAAUUUUUCAUUAUAAAAAUAAAAUAAAUGUUGACACUAGUAUUGCAACCAAGACAUGGGAUUUUUGCAAAUCUAUUGAUAUUCAUGAAAGUGAAUGGGAAGAAUAUUCGAAGCUGAUUAUUUUACUCUUUGAACAUAUGUCAAAUGAGGAAUUCUCAGAAGCUUCUCAUGAAUUAUUACAAAUUAUCGACUGUCGCGUCGGUCGGAGGGCGGGAGAGGCAGGUGAUGACAAACAAAUGUUGAAAUGGCAAUUGCAUAAAUGAGGAGACUGCCGGUCUAGAGAAUAACAAAGUAGGUUGAGGGGGUAGGGAGGAGAAGUGAAAAAUCGAAACUUUGGAAAAGAAACUAACUUUUCAGGCAAGGUCGUCUCUACCCCUUCCAGCCGACAGUCCCCUCAUCUACACAAUAUUACUAUUGUCAAUCUUUGCCGCACCCCUUCUUCCCACGUCCGACCAACGGUUUCAUUAUCUAGAAUCUAGACAUACGUUGCUGUAAAUGAGUUUCACUUUAUAUGA
Molecule: unclassified non-coding RNA, 3693 nt
Filed under: Agrilus planipennis (emerald ash borer)
Lineage: Eukaryota; Metazoa; Arthropoda; Insecta; Coleoptera; Buprestidae
Description: uncharacterized LOC108735919, transcript variant X1
Source: RNAcentral